UACGGAGGGUGCAAGCGUUAUCCGGAUUCACUGGGUUUAAAGGGUGCGUAGGUGGGCAUGUAAGUCAGUGGUGAAAUCUCCGGGCUUAACCCGGAAACUGCCAUUGAUACUAUAUGUCUUGAAUACCAUGGAGGUGAGCGGAAUAUGUCAUGUAGCGGUGAAAUGCUUAGAUAUGACAUAGAACACCAAUUGCGAAGGCAGCUCACUACGCGGUCAUUGACACUGAGGCACGAAAGCGUGGGGAUCAAACAGG
Molecule: ribosomal RNA, 253 nt
Filed under: uncultured bacterium
Lineage: Bacteria
Description: partial 16S ribosomal RNA
Rfam family: Bacterial small subunit ribosomal RNA
Source: RNAcentral